RNAcentral lists this transfer RNA (73 nucleotides) under Coemansia sp. S610. RNAcentral describes it as "tRNA-Arg". It matches the Rfam family "tRNA". Rfam says of the family: Transfer RNA (tRNA) molecules are approximately 80 nucleotides in length. Their secondary structure includes four short double-helical elements and three loops (D, anti-codon, and T loops). Lineage: Eukaryota; Fungi; Kickxellomycota; Kickxellomycetes; Kickxellales; Kickxellaceae. The record is from RNAcentral.
GCCUUGUAGCUCAGCGGAUUAGAGCGCUCGUUUCCGAUGCGAGAAGUCCCAGGUUCGAACCCUGGCUGGGUCA